CUGUUAAUCAGAGAAUUCAUAGAGUUUUUAAUGUGGUAGCAAUAUUUUUCCUAAAGCAAGAUGAUCAGUAACUUGUUUGCUUUACAAUUAUUAGAAACUGCUGUUUGCCUGCCUUAUGAUGAGUAAUAAUGAAGCGGAUUCAACUUCCCUUUUCCAAAAAUGCAGGUUCUUGUUAAACCUUUGGGAGACCGAGGAUACCUUUUUCUUCUCUCUCCUUGUCAAAUGGUUUCUCCAUAUGAACAUCAAACUGCCAAAUCUCGAGUCCUACAUGCUUUAUUUCUAUUUCAAGAACCUAGAGGCAUAGUUACUUAUCUCCAGUAGGCAGAGAGGCAGGCAGAG
This is a long non-coding RNA of Lontra canadensis (Northern American river otter), 339 nucleotides long. RefSeq lists it as uncharacterized. NCBI's taxonomy places the organism in Eukaryota, Metazoa, Chordata, Mammalia, Carnivora, Mustelidae. The record is from RefSeq and is a predicted model, not a curated record. The transcript is spliced from 3 exons.